RNAcentral lists this non-coding RNA (743 nucleotides) under Roxasellana stellata. Lineage: Eukaryota; Metazoa; Arthropoda; Insecta; Hemiptera; Cicadellidae. The record is from RNAcentral.
AUUCUAGCUAUAUUAUUAAUUAUAUCAAUAAAUUAUAUGGUUAAUAUAUUUUUAAUAUUAAGUUUCCAAUUAUUAAUAUUAUAAUUAUAUAUAAGUAUAGAUUUAGUUAUUGAUUUACAAUAGAUUAAUAUUUGUGCCAGCAUUCGCGGUUAAACAAUUUAUUGAAAUUAAUUUUUUAGGUAAUUAAUUCAAUAGAUUUUGUAUAUGGAAAUAGUUAUUUAUUGUUUAGGUGAAAUUUACAUUAAAUAUUAAUUUCUAAGUUUAUUUUAAAUAAUUUAAUAAUUAAACUAGGAUUAGAUACCCUAUUAUAAUUAAAUGUUUAUUUAACCUGAAUGGUAUUAGUUAUGAUCUUUAAAGCUCAAAGAAUUUGGCGGUAAAAUAUCUAUUUAGAGGAAUCUGUAGAUUAAUUGAUGAACCACGAUAGUUUACACUUUAAUUAUAUUUGUAUAUCGCUAUAUUUAUGAAUGUUUUGAUAAGAAAUUUUUUUUUACUAUUUAGAUGAAAAUUAGGUCAAGGUGCAGUUUUAUUGAAGUUUCUAUGGAUUACUUUUAAUAUAAAUUAUUUGAAUAGUAAAUUUAUUAUAUUUACUUGAAUUAGGAUUUAAUAGUAAAAUUAAUUAAUUAAUUAUUUUGAAUUUUGUACUAUUUUAUGUACAUAUCGCCCGUCACUCCUAGUUUAAGUUAGGAUAAGUCGUAACAAAGUAACUUUACCGGAAGGUGAAGUUAGAAUGAAUAGAUUUAAUA